GCCCAAUUUCGCACGUGCCUGUGGUCGCGUGUCGGUCGGUAGGUAGCGGGACAAGAGGCCCGCCAGCCGCCUGGGGAGACCAAGCUCUCUGCGGAGAGUCUCUCCAAGAAAUCUGACCGGCAGCCGGAGGCGAAACCGGCGUACUCAGUUCUCCGCUGAGGACGCGACUUAAAGCAACGACGGAGCGGGCUUUU
Molecule: small RNA, 194 nt
Filed under: Pseudorhodoplanes sinuspersici
Lineage: Bacteria; Pseudomonadati; Pseudomonadota; Alphaproteobacteria; Hyphomicrobiales
Description: Alphaproteobacterial sRNA ar45
Rfam family: Alphaproteobacterial sRNA ar45
Source: Rfam by way of RNAcentral